This 615-nucleotide ribosomal RNA is filed under the name Bremia lactucae (lettuce downy mildew). Its description in RNAcentral is "LSU rRNA". It matches the Rfam family "Eukaryotic large subunit ribosomal RNA", at positions 512 to 1096 of the family's 3401-position model. The record is from RNAcentral. Lineage: Eukaryota; Oomycota; Peronosporomycetes; Peronosporales; Peronosporaceae.
GCUUAUGAGUGGGAUCGAAUCUCCAUGUGCGCCGUGUGCGGAUAGCUUGCUAUGCGUGUGUAGCUGUGUGUGGAUUGAGUCGAGACGUAACUUAUUGCCGUUCGGGACGUUGACGAAAUGGAGCGAUUUGACCCGUCUUGAAACACGGACCAAGGAGUCUAACAUGUGUGCAAGUGUUAGGGUGUGGAAACCCCAGCGCGUAAUGAAAGUAAAGGAUAGCGUAAGUUAUCUUAGGUAGGAAAUGCUGCGGGUUCGUCCUGCGGCGUGGCACUAUCGACCGAUCAUGAACCUUCGUGGUGAAAGAUUUGAGUUUGAGCACAUAUGUUGGUACCCGAAAGAUGGUGAACUAUGCCUGAGUAGGGUGAAGCCAGAGGAAACUCUGGUGGAAGCUCGUAGCGAUUCUGACGUGCAAAUCGAUCGUCAAACUUGGGUAUAGGGGCGAAAGACUAAUCGAACCAUCUAGUAGCUGGUUCCCUCCGAAAUUUCCCUCAGGAUAGCAGCAACUGAUUUACGAUAGUUUUAUGAGGUAAAGCGAAUGAUUAGAGGAUUCGGGGAAGAAAUUUUCUCGACCUAUUCUCAAACUUUAAAUCUGUAAGACCUGCAGGUUUCUUAAUU